AUGAUCGGGAUAACAGUUGGAAACGGCUGCUAAUACCGGAUACGCUCAAAAUGAACUUUUUUGAGGAAAGAUGGCCUCUGCUUGCAUGCUAUCACGUAAGGAUGAGUCCGCGUCCCAUUAGCUUGGUUGGCGGGGUAACGGCCCACCAAGGCAACGAUGGGUAGCCGAUUUGAGAGGAUGAUCGGCCACACUGGAACUGAAACACGGUCCAGACUCCUACGGGAGGCAGCAGUGGGGAAUAUUGCGCAAUGGGCGAAAGCCUGACGCAGCGACGCCGCGUGAGGGAUGAAGGUUUUCGGAUCGUAAACCUCUGUCAGAAGGGAAGAAACUACGUUGUGCUAAUCAGCAGCGUACUGACGGUACCUUCAAAGGAAGCACCGGCUAACUCCGUGCCAGCAGCCGC
Molecule: ribosomal RNA, 403 nt
Filed under: uncultured bacterium
Lineage: Bacteria
Description: bacterial SSU rRNA
Rfam family: Bacterial small subunit ribosomal RNA
Source: RNAcentral